GGUUCUGGAGACCCAAACACUCAUCCUCAUGUCCAUUGAGCUGUGCCCCCAUCCUCAGUUUUCUCCCAUUUCUGAGACAUUUUUAUUCACCACACUUUCUCAUCCUAAAGCUCUCCAGCUCUCUGCAAAUGCAAAACUAUAUCAACUCUUAUUUGUUGCUGAGACAGAAGACCUGACCAUAAGCAACUUAAUGGGGGUGUGUGUGGUGGUGUUAAGGGGGGUGAGGGUGGAGAGCUUAUUCUGUGGGGAAGGGAAUGCUGAUAAGAGCUUGAGGCUGCUGGUUUUAUGCAUCCACAGUCAGGAAGCAGACAAAGAUGAAUCCAGGGAGACCAUCUUCUUCCUACUUUUAAUUCAGUCUUGGCCCUCACCCCAGGCAAGGAUGCUGCUCACACAUGGGACAGUACAUGAGGGGUCUUCCCACCUCAAUGAAUCCCCUCUAAAGACUCCCUUGCAGACGGCCCAAAACUUGUUAAUGUUUUUAGCAUAAUUCUUGAUAAUAAAACCUGGAUAAUUCUUGAUCGGUUGAAGCUGACAGUCUUCAACGGAAGGGGACAUUAAUGACAACUUUCUCAAACUCAUGGCAAAUGAAAUUCUACAAUUCAUCAUCUCUCCAUACCUUCAUUUCCCAUAAACUCACCAGGUGGGCUAGAUUUCAAAUCAUUAAUGCUCAGUAUUUUUAAAACAUACGGAAUUUAUAGUAAUGCUUUGAGAAUUUCAUACAACGUGUUUUGAUCCUAUUAACUCUUCUUCUCCCAACUCCUCCCAGAUCCACUCUCACCCUCUCCUAACCAUGUUCUCUCUCUCUCUCUCUCUCUCUCUCUCUGACCUACUGAGUCUGGUUAAUGCUAUGUCUAUACUUAUGGGUAAGGGUCAUCCUCUGGAGUGUGGUUGACCCACUACAAGGCAUACCCUUAAAGAAGACUGACCCUGCCUUUCCCAAAAGUCAUUAAUUGUCAGUAGCUUCUCAGGGUUUGAGCCCAUGAGCCCGUUCCCACUCUCUGCUGGUAUGUUGACUAGCUUGAUCUUGUACAGGCAACCACAAACUCAGAUCCUCACAUGUAUACAGCAAGAACCCAUGCUACCAUCCUUCUACUCCUGUCACAGAGAUUUCUAUGAGAGUCUCUUCUGAGACUGGCAGAAGAGACUAAAUUAAAAACUAUUUUAUUAUUUUUAUGCAUAUACAGGUUUGCCUGCAUAUAUGUCUGUGUACCACGUGUGUGCCUGGUGCCUGUGGAGGCCAGAAAAGGUUGUCAGAUCCCAUGGAACUGGAACUACAUAUGGUUGUGAGCCAUCAUGUAGGUGCUGGGAAUCGAACCCAGUUCUUCUGAAGAGUAGUGAGUACUCUUAACUGCUGAGCCAUCUCUCCUGUGCUGCCAAAGGGCUUGUGUUCUUGCUGUUUCUCUGUGCUGCCGCCUCUCUCCUCUCCUCUGUUGGUGGUAACCCUCCUUAAGUACCAAGGAAACCCAGUGUCCUUCACUGGUGAAUGUUGGUGUACAGACACAUGAGGACAGCAUUUAGCAUACAUAGUGACUGUUCUUCGCUGUGCCAGUCUGGUGGUUGCUUUCUAAGCACCCCCUACCAUUAGCUGUAGGAAUAUAUCCCAGUUUAUCUGAGGUAGCAUUUUUCCCUUUGGAGAGCUUUGAAAAGAUAAAUAGGUUUCCACUUUACCUAGGCUUACUGAAUUCUGAGCAUCUUCAGGAUUAUGAUAAAUGAAUAUUAAAAAUAACAUACUCUGGGCUAGGGAGAGAGCUCAGUUGUUUUAAUGUUUGCUGUGCACGCAUAAAAGGAUCCAAAUUAAUCCCAAGAGUCUAUUAUUAUUAUUGUUGUUGUCUUUAUUUAUUUAUUUAUUAAAAGCUAGGGAUGGUGGAAUCCCAGAAUCUCAGUGAAGGGGAGGUGGAGACAGACAUACCUCUGGUGGCCAGUUGGCUUGCCAACCUAGCCUGCUUGGGAGAGCUCCAGGCUAAACCCUCCUCCAAGCAAACAACAAAUGAAGCACAAGGUGGAACACACACGAGUGCACAUCCGCACGGACUCCUGCACACAUCACAGAGUACAACUAAGGCAGUGUUGAGAUGGAGAGGCAUAGGCUCCAGCCAGUCCCUGUGCUGAGGCACACCCCUCGCUGGCUGCUGAGGCACACCUCUCCAUGGCUGCUGAGGCACACCUCUCCGUGGCUGGGACUAUUCUACUCUCAGCAAGCAUGCCCUCUCACACGGAGAGCAACGGAACAAGGGUUACAUGGGCAGGAGCUGUUGGCUGCCAUGUCAUGGCCAGUUUCAGGAUAAAGUUGAUCAAGGAUCCCUGAUGGCAUCUUUAGCUAUACAAUCGAUGAGCCUCAAGAACUUCCCCACCCUGAACUCUGUGAGAAAAUAAAUCUUAGAUAGUGCAGGAAAUGGGUCAGACACAUCCACUGACCCAUGGAAGAGGCUAAACGUUGUGUGUUUUAAUAACAUUCC
This 2456-nucleotide long non-coding RNA is filed under the name Mus musculus (house mouse). Its description in RNAcentral is "long non-coding RNA chr6:140777206-140779662". Lineage: Eukaryota; Metazoa; Chordata; Mammalia; Rodentia; Muridae. The record is from RNAcentral.